Long non-coding RNA from Cryptotermes secundus, 1155 nucleotides. RefSeq lists it as uncharacterized. The transcript has 2 exons. The record is from RefSeq and is a predicted model, not a curated record. NCBI's taxonomy places the organism in Eukaryota, Metazoa, Arthropoda, Insecta, Blattodea, Kalotermitidae.
UAUCAUUUAUCAUGUAGAGUGCAACAGGAUGCUUAAAUAUAAUAUUGUCUGGAAUUAUAUACAAUUCAUGCUUUGCAUUUAAAUGGGAGAGGUAAAGAAGUUAUGGUGCAAAAAUAUCGCAAAUGUGAAAAACACUUCAGUUGGAAUUAAAUGGAAAGAAGAAAAAUUUACUGGAUCCAUUCAGACAACUGUGAAACAUCACAGGUGAAGAAUAUCUCAUGUUUGGAAGGCAUAUACAAUACACAAUAAAUAAUGAGCGUGGAAGAGAUGAUUUCAAGCUUGAUAAUCGAACAGAGCUUCAGCCAAAACGACUCUGUAAAAUACCAAUAAAAAGUUCAGAUUUUUUAUGGACAGAUCUAGACAAAUUAUAAAUAGCCAAAAAUGUGAAAGGAGAGUAAAGCUGAAUUUAAGAAAUCAUAAAUUUGCAAUUCUACAUGAUAUCAUAUGGAAUUAUCAGUCCUCUUAAAUACUAGUUUACAAAGUAUAGAUGCCUGGUGUUUUACAGAACAUUGGUUGGCAGAAGCCCAACUAGACUUGUUUGAGAUUAAUAAUUUUUUACUGGUUAGUAAAUUUUGUAGGAAGGGUUGUAAAAACAGAGGAUCCUGUAUAUUUAUUAACAAAUAGUUAAAUACUAGGAAAAUCACGUUUCUUAAUAACCUAGGCUGUGAACAGCACUUUGAGAUAUCUGCAGUACAAACUGUAGCAUUGAAAUGGUUAUUAAUCUGUAUUUACAGAUCCCCUCACAGUGAUGUUCAUAUUUUUUGGACAAACCAGGAGCACUUGUUGACAGAAUACAUAAAAAAAACUAAUUUGUGGAGAUUGGAAUAUAAACCUCCAGGAUCAUGAGUAGCAGAAGAGCUGUACUGUGGUCUUCUGGAUUACAAUGGUGGGUUGUCUUUGCUCUAACCUACCAGACUACACACUGUCAGGUGAGAAGACAACAAAAUAAUAAAUAUAUUAUAUUAUUCUUAUUGAAGAUUAAUAAAAUUUUAAUCAUCUUGCAUUAGACAUGCACCAAACAUUCCAACAAAUGAGGAGUACCUAAAAUUUACGUGACAACAAUGUGCUCUUUAUAAUCUGGUGUCAGGAUACUGCAACAUUUUGCAUGAAGCUUUCACUUUUUACAUGAAAUGACGGGUAACCAUAUUGUGAUAU